RNAcentral lists this ribosomal RNA (439 nucleotides) under uncultured bacterium. Its description in RNAcentral is "bacterial SSU rRNA". It matches the Rfam family "Bacterial small subunit ribosomal RNA", at positions 339 to 794 of the family's 1533-position model. The record is from RNAcentral.
UUACGGGAGGCAGCAGGAAGGAAUUUUGGACAAUGGGGGCAACCCUGAUCCAGCAACGCCGCGUGGGCGAUGAAGGUCUUCGGGUCGUAAAGCCCUUUUCUGUGGGAAGAGGCAGGACGGUACCACAGGAAUAAGUCUCGGCUAACUACGUGCCAGCAGCCGCGGUAAAACGUGGGAGGCAAGCGUUAUCCGGAUUUACUGGGCGUAAAGCGCAUGCAGGCGGCAUCGCAAGUUGGGCGUGAAAUCUCUCGGCUUAACCGGGAGGGGUCGUCCAAUACUGUGGAGCUUGGGUGCAGGAGAGGGAAGCGGAAUUUCCAGUGUAGCGGUAAUAUGCGCAGAUAUUGGAAAGAACACCAGUGGCGAAGGCGGCUUCCUGGCCUGUAACCGACGCUAAGAUGCGAAAGCUAGGGGAGCGAACGGGAUUAGAUACCCCGGUAGU